UUCACAAUGUUUAUUAGUGACAAACUUCAAAAUGAGAACUCUUCCAAGCCUCUGGAUUCCAAAUUCUGGUAUAACAUCAAACUUACUCUCAAUAUUACAGAAGAAAAGUUUCUUCCAUUACCACAUCUAAAGCUGUCUACAAGGUUCCUGUUGAGUGUCCAGAAUUAAAACAGCCUUGUGGAACAAAGCAACUGAGGAUAAUCCCUGGGGAGCAUGUUGUAUCUUAUAAGGCCAAUCAUGUUAUCUACUAAACGAUACUUGAAGGAGUCUUGGCUUUGAAAAAAGAUCCACUGUAUGGUGAAGCAAAGAGUGGAAGGAACCAUACAUAGGAAAAGGAAGAAAUAAUGACUGAUCAGAACAACUAUUCCAUCGGGAAUCAGAAAUCCAUUUCAAUACCAAAAACCAAAUCAAAUUAACCAAAUCAGCCCGAACCAAAAAUAUUCUACAUUCAAAUUAAAGUUCUUUCAGUUGCAUUAUACAAAUAUCAUGAUAGAAAGCCAGGAAGAAUUCUUACUCAUUAUUUUGCACUGAAAGUUUUGAAUAUUUUUAAAAGCACCGAUUUUUCAUUUUGUGA
Molecule: long non-coding RNA, 574 nt
Organism: Neofelis nebulosa (Clouded leopard)
Lineage: Eukaryota; Metazoa; Chordata; Mammalia; Carnivora; Felidae
Exons: 3
Source: RefSeq, a predicted model, not a curated record